This 65-nucleotide transfer RNA is filed under the name Dipodomys ordii (Ord's kangaroo rat). It matches the Rfam family "tRNA". Rfam says of the family: Transfer RNA (tRNA) molecules are approximately 80 nucleotides in length. Their secondary structure includes four short double-helical elements and three loops (D, anti-codon, and T loops). Lineage: Eukaryota; Metazoa; Chordata; Mammalia; Rodentia; Heteromyidae. The record is from Rfam by way of RNAcentral.
GGUGGCUCAAUGGUAGAGUGCAUGCCUUGCAUGCAUGUGGCCCUGGGUUUGAUUCCUCAACACCA